GCACUGGUGGUUCAGUGGUAGAAUUCUCGCCAGCCACGUGGGAGCCCCGGGUUCGAUUCCCGGCCAGUGCA
Molecule: transfer RNA, 71 nt
Filed under: Pocillopora damicornis (cauliflower coral)
Lineage: Eukaryota; Metazoa; Cnidaria; Anthozoa; Scleractinia; Pocilloporidae
Description: tRNA-Gly
Rfam family: tRNA
About the family: Transfer RNA (tRNA) molecules are approximately 80 nucleotides in length.
Source: Rfam by way of RNAcentral